ACGUGGGUAACCUGCCCCCCAGGGGGGGAUAACAUUUGGAAACAGAUGCUAAUACCGCAUAGAUCCAAGAACCGCAUGGUUCUUGGCUGAAAGAUGGCGUAAGCUAUCGCUUUUGGAUGGACCCGCGGCGUAUUAGCUAGUUGGUGAGGUAAUGGCUCACCAAGGCGAUGAUACGUAGCCGAACUGAGAGGUUGAUCGGCCACAUUGGGACUGAGACACGGCCCAAACUCCUACGGGAGGCAGCAGUAGGGAAUCUUCCACAAUGGACGCAAGUCUGAUGGAGCAACGCCGCGUGAGUGAAGAAGGCUUUCGGGUCGUAAAACUCUGUUGUUGGAGAAGAAUGGUCGGCAGAGUAACUGUUGUCGGCGUGACGGUAUCCAACCAGAAAGCCACGGCUAACUACGUGCCAGCAGCCGCGGUAAUACGUAGGUGGCAAGCGUUAUCCGGAUUUAUUGGGCGUAAAGCGAGCGCAGGCGGUUUUUUAAGUCUGAUGUGAAAGCCCUCGGCUUAACCGAGGAAGCGCAUCGGAAACUGGGAAACUUGAGUGCAGAAGAGGACAGUGGAACUCCAUGUGUAGCGGUGAAAUGCGUAGAUAUAUGGAAGAACACCAGUGGCGAAGGCGGCUGUCUGGUCUGU
This 636-nucleotide ribosomal RNA is filed under the name uncultured bacterium. Its description in RNAcentral is "bacterial SSU rRNA". It matches the Rfam family "Bacterial small subunit ribosomal RNA", at positions 115 to 737 of the family's 1533-position model. The record is from RNAcentral.